CGUGUAGGCGGGAAAGCAAGUCAGAUGUGAAAACUGUGGGCUCAACCCACAGCCUGCAUUUGAAACUGUUUUUCUUGAGUACUGGAGAGGCAGAUGGAAUUCCUAGUGUAGCGGUGAAAUGCGUAGAUAUUAGGAGGAACACCAGUGGCGAAGGCGAUCUGCUGGACAGCAACUGACGCUGAGGCGCGAAAGCGUGGGGAGCAAACA
This 207-nucleotide ribosomal RNA is filed under the name uncultured bacterium. RNAcentral's name for it is "partial 16S ribosomal RNA". It matches the Rfam family "Bacterial small subunit ribosomal RNA", at positions 568 to 774 of the family's 1533-position model. The record is from RNAcentral.